UAGUGAGUUUGAUCCUGGCUCAGGGUGAACGCUGGCGGCGUGCUUAAGACAUGCAAGUCGAACGGCAGUCUUCGGACUGUAGUGGCGCACGGGUGAGUAACGCGUAACUGACCUACCCCAAAGUCGCGGAUAACGGUUCGAAAGAAUCGCUAAUACGUGAUGUGCUGCUCCCUCCUGUGGAUCAGUAAAGGUUUACUGCUUUGGGAUGGGGUUGCGUUCCAUCAGCUAGUUGGUAGGGUAAAGGCCUACCAAGGCGACGACGGAUAGCCGGUCU
RNAcentral lists this ribosomal RNA (274 nucleotides) under uncultured Deinococcus sp. RNAcentral's name for it is "partial 16S ribosomal RNA". It matches the Rfam family "Bacterial small subunit ribosomal RNA", at positions 1 to 293 of the family's 1533-position model. The record is from RNAcentral. Lineage: Bacteria; Thermotogati; Deinococcota; Deinococci; Deinococcales; Deinococcaceae.